GGAAGGAUCAUUAACACUUAUUAUUAUCCAAUAUCAAAAAUAAAACCAAACGGUCACUUAUCUCCUCCCUAUUUCGACUCCCGGAGACGGGGCGAUUAGGCUAAACUCUAUUUUUUUAAAUUUUUUAACCCCAUUCUUAUUUAUAUUCUUCUUUUUUUGUCGAAAGACAAAUAAUAAAAUAUAAACAAACCAACUCUUCGAUUGUUUGGCUUUUAACUAGCUUUUUCAUUCGAACUAAACUAAAAUAUACAUUCGAUAUAUUUUUAUUUUACGAAAUAAUCUAUAUUUAUAAGAACAACUCUUAGCAAUGGAUAUCUUGGUUCUCGCAACGAUGAAGAACGCAGCGAAAUGCGAUAUGUAAUGCGAAUUGCAGAAUUCAGUGAAUCAUCAAAUCUUUGAACGCAAAUUGCGCUCUCGGGAUAGACCUGGGAGCACGCCCCUUUGAGUAUCGGUUCUAACACAACUCAACUUCCAUUGUUUGAUUAUAAUGGCAAGCUUGGAGAAUGAGUCGUCUCGACAAAGCACAACUGUUGAGUCACUUGAAAUAUAGAGAGUGCAGAUCUCCUAGUUGCCAUCCGAAAGGAUUAGUUCUAGUGCAUAACAAGCAAAACAUAACCAUAAGAACAAAAAACUAGUUGACGUGGAUAAUUUCACCUUUACGGUGUAUCUUUUUUAAAACGUCAAUCAAAGCUAAGUUUUUUUUGUUUGCCUAAAAGCCUUGAAUGAAACAACUUGUGAUUGAGCUUCACGUAACCAUUUUUUGCGCAAGCAAAAAAAUCAUUCUUUUUGAAUUUAGAUCUCAGAUGGAGCGAGAAUACCCCCUGAAUUUAAGCAUAUUAAUAAGGGGAGGAAAAGAAACUAACAAGGAUUCUCUUAGUAACGGCGAGUGAAGCGAGAAGAGCUCAAACUGAAAAUCGGGGACCCAAGCGGGCCUCUGAAUUGUUUGCUAGAGACGUGUUGUCAGCAUGUGACCUAGAUUGAAAUCUCUUGAAACAGGGUAUCAUAGAGGGUGAGAAUCCCGUCUGCAAUCUGGAGUUCGCUGCGUACGACGCAUGUUCAUAGAGUCGAGUUGUUUGGGAUUGCAGCUCUAAUUGGGUGGUAAGUUUCAUCUAAAGCUAAAUAUUGGCGAGAGACCGAUAGCGAACAAGUACCGUGAGGGAAAGAUGAAAAGAACUUUGAAAAGAGAGUUAAAAAGUACUUGAAAUUGUUAAGAGGGAAGCGCUGAAAUUCAGUCAUUUGCUCUAGUUUAUUUUGCCAUUUGCUGGUGAAGAAUAGGGCAGACAAGUGUGCAAGCCUUGUUUGUUUUAUUGGACAUUAUGUGGGUGGUUUCUGUAAGCUAGGGUGAGUCAGAAUCUUUUCGAUUCGCGUGAGAAAGUUAUGAGGAAGGUAGGGUAUAGCAAUAUACCUGUUAUAGCCUUGUAGCCCUAACGUGGAUUUGGAUUGAGGAAAUGUGAUAUAAUGCGCCGCAGGCUUGGUAGCUUAUUUCUAUCGAUUAGUAGAGGUCAAGAUAACAAUGUUAUGUAGCUUCUACUAGUUGAUACUGGGUAAGACUACUCUAUGCAUUAUCGCGAUUCUGACGAAAUGGAUUUCAUCGACCCGUCUUGAAACACGGACCAAGGAGUCUAACAUAUAUGCGAGUAUUUGGGUGUUCAAACGCCUCGUGCGUAAUGAAAGUAAAGGUUAGCUUGCUAACUGUGGUAGGAAUCGUCUUCGGGCGAGGCACUAUCGACCGAUCAUCACUUGUGAAAGAUUUGAAUAAGAGCAUAUCUGUUGGGACCCGAAAGAUGGUGAUCUAUGCCUGAACAGGGUGAAGCCAGGGGAAACUCUGGUGGAGGCUCGUAGCGAUACUGACGUGCAAAUCGUUCGUCUGAUUUGGGUAUAGGGGCGAAAGACUAAUCGAACCAUUUAGUAGCUGGUUCCCUC
RNAcentral lists this unclassified non-coding RNA (1923 nucleotides) under uncultured fungus. Its description in RNAcentral is "sequence contains 18S rRNA gene, ITS1, 5.8S rRNA gene, ITS2, 28S rRNA gene". The stretch from base 795 to 1923 matches the Rfam family "Eukaryotic large subunit ribosomal RNA", at positions 1 to 961 of the family's 3401-position model. Lineage: Eukaryota; Fungi. The record is from RNAcentral.